Molecule: ribosomal RNA, 308 nt
Filed under: uncultured eukaryote
Lineage: Eukaryota
Description: partial 18S ribosomal RNA
Rfam family: Eukaryotic small subunit ribosomal RNA
Source: RNAcentral
CCCUUAGACGUUCUGGGCCGCACGCGCGCUACACUGACGAAGGCAACGAGCUUUCCUUUACCGAAAGGUACGGGUAAUCUUUUGAAACUUCGUCGUGCUGGGGAUAGAUCCUUGCAAUUAUUGAUCUUAAACGAGGAAUUCCUAGUAAGCGCAAGUCAUCAACUUGCGUUGAUUACGUCCCUACCCUUUGUACACACCGCCCGUCGCUACUACCGAUUGAAUGGUUUAGUGAGGCCUUCGGAUCCGCGACUCGUUUUGUGGAGAAGUUGGACAAACUCAGUCAUUUAGAGGAAGUAAAAGUCGUAACA